UCGGGAAUUUUGGGCAAUGGACGAAAGUCUGACCGAGCGACGCCGCGUGCCAGAUGAAGCCCUUCGGGGUGUAAAUGGCUUUUUUCAGGGACGAACAAAUGACGGUACCUGAAGAAUAAGAGGUUGCUAACUCUGUGCCAGCAGCAGCGGUAAUACAGAGACCUCGAGCAUUAUCCGGAAUUAUUGGGCGUAAAGGGUCCGUAGGCGGCUCUGUAAGUCAUAUGUCAAAUCUUUGGGCUCAACCCGAAGGCUGCGUGUGAAACUGUGGAGCUAGAGAUCGGGAGAGGCACAUGGAAUUACAGGUGUAGCGGUAAAAUGCGUUAAUAUCUGUAAGAACACCAAAGGCGAAGGCAGUGUGCUGGAACGAUUCUGACGCUGAGGGACGAAAGCGUGGGGAGCAAACAGGAUUAGAUACCCCUGUAGUCCCUGAGCGGGCUGGCAAGGCGCAU
Molecule: ribosomal RNA, 449 nt
Filed under: uncultured bacterium
Lineage: Bacteria
Description: bacterial SSU rRNA
Rfam family: Bacterial small subunit ribosomal RNA
Source: RNAcentral